GGUGGCUCAGUGGUAGGGCGCUUGCCUUGCAUGCAUAAGGCCCUGGGUUCAAUUCCUCAGCACCA
Molecule: transfer RNA, 65 nt
Filed under: Dipodomys ordii (Ord's kangaroo rat)
Lineage: Eukaryota; Metazoa; Chordata; Mammalia; Rodentia; Heteromyidae
Rfam family: tRNA
About the family: Transfer RNA (tRNA) molecules are approximately 80 nucleotides in length. Their secondary structure includes four short double-helical elements and three loops (D, anti-codon, and T loops).
Source: Rfam by way of RNAcentral